Small nucleolar RNA from Nannospalax galili (Upper Galilee mountains blind mole rat), 150 nucleotides. NCBI's taxonomy places the organism in Eukaryota, Metazoa, Chordata, Mammalia, Rodentia, Spalacidae. The record is from Ensembl.
GCACCCAGCUUUCAAACUGCAAUUUAAAAAAAUUAAAAAUUUUAUAGAUUAAAGGGGCUGUGCUUGUGGGAAAGAUUAAAAUAGUCAGGAUCUGAAGGGGGAGGGCUUCUCAAUGCCUGCCCUCUAUAUGAACUGGCUGUACAAGAAAAA